UUGACCUCAGUUCGGCCGGGAGCACCCGCUGAAGUUAAGCAUAUCAUAAGCGGA
Molecule: ribosomal RNA, 54 nt
Filed under: Nitella acuminata
Lineage: Eukaryota; Viridiplantae; Streptophyta; Charophyceae; Charales; Characeae
Description: partial 26S ribosomal RNA
Source: RNAcentral